RNAcentral lists this ribosomal RNA (296 nucleotides) under uncultured bacterium. RNAcentral describes it as "partial 16S ribosomal RNA". It matches the Rfam family "Bacterial small subunit ribosomal RNA", at positions 29 to 334 of the family's 1533-position model. The record is from RNAcentral.
AGUGAACGCUGGCGGCGUGCUUAACACAUGCAAGUCGAACGGUAACAGGAAGAAGCUUGCUUCUUUGCUGACGAGUGGCGGACGGGUGAGUAAUGUAUAGGUAUGUGCCCCAUAGUCUAGGAUAGCCACUGGAAACGGUGAUUAAUACUGGAUAUUCCUUACGAGGGAAAGCUUUAGUGCUAUGGGAUCGGCCUAUAUGAUAUCAGGUAGUUGGUGGGGUAAGAGCCUACCAAGCCAAUGACAUCUAGCUGGUCUGAGAGGAUGAUCAGCCACACUGGAACUGAGACACGGUCCAG